Molecule: ribosomal RNA, 655 nt
Filed under: uncultured bacterium
Lineage: Bacteria
Description: bacterial SSU rRNA
Rfam family: Bacterial small subunit ribosomal RNA
Source: RNAcentral
GAUGAACGCUAGCGGCAGGCUUAAUACAUGCAAGUCGUGGGGCAGCAGGUUUGUAGCAAUACAGAUGCUGGCGACCGGCAAACGGGUGCGGAACACGUACGCAACCUCCCUCCUCCUGGAAGAUAGCCCACCGAAAGGUGGAUUAAUACUCCAUAAUAUAUUGAAGUGGCAUCACUUUAAUAUUAAAGCUCCGGCGGAAAGAGAUGGGCGUGCGUCUGAUUAGGUAGUUGGCGGGGUAACGGCCCACCAAGCCUGCGAUCAGUAGCUGAUGUGAGAGCAUGAUCAGCCACACGGGCACUGAGACACGGGCCCGACUCCUACGGGAGGCAGCAGUAAGGAAUAUUGGUCAAUGGACGCAAGUCUGAACCAGCCAUGCCGCGUGGAGGAUGAAGGCCCUCUGGGUUGUAAACUUCUUUUCUCUGGGACGAAACCCCCGAUUUCCAUCGGGCCUGACGGUACCAGAGGAAUAAGCACCGGCUAACUCCGUGCCAGCAGCCGCGGUAAUACGGAGGGUGCAAGCGUUAUCCGGAUUCACUGGGUUUAAAGGGUGCGUAGGUGGGCAAGUAAGUCAGUGGUGAAAUCUCUGGGCUUAACCCGGAAACUGCCAUUGAUACUAUUUGUCUUGAAUUCUCUGGAGGUAAGCGGAAUAUGUCAU